This is a long non-coding RNA of Peromyscus californicus insignis, 3254 nucleotides long. RefSeq lists it as uncharacterized. The record is from RefSeq and is a predicted model, not a curated record. The transcript has 4 exons. Lineage: Eukaryota; Metazoa; Chordata; Mammalia; Rodentia; Cricetidae.
UCUAAGUGGUUGGGAACAAGAAAAGAAGGCUGUAACAGGUGAGGGGACAGAAUUUAGACCAAAGGCAUCUUACUUAAGAUUACUACUGCUGUGAUGAAACACCAUGACCAAAAGCAAAUUGGAGAGAAAGGUUUAUUGGCUUACACUUUCACACCACAGUCCAUCACUGAAGGAAGUCAGGGCAGGAACUUAAGCAGGUCAGGAACCUGGAGGCAGGAGCUGAUGCAUGGGCCAUGGAGGGAUGCUGCUUACUGGCUUACUCCUUCUGGCUUGCUACUUUCUUGUAGAACCCAAGACCACACCCUAAGAGUGGGGUGGACCUCACCCUUCUGCAUUCCACCCACCUCCCAGCCUCACCUGGAUCUGUGGACAGAGUCCAUUCCUAGCCAGCCAUCCUCAACCCUUUGCCCAAGUCUUUGCCAGGAACCCCAGCAGCCUACGACUUCCUGACCACAGCUCCUAUAACCACUGUCCUCUCCAGCACCCACGGUCCCAUCCUCUGGAGGAACAAAAGGGCGGUGACACUCACAGACUGACGGCCCCACCCCCUACCCCGUUUGUUCAUUUUGUUUUUCAAGGUUUCUCUGUGUAGCCCUGGCUGUCCUGAAAGUCGCUCUGUAGACCAGGCUGGCCGUGAACUCAGAGAUCUGCCUACCUCUGCCUCCCAAGAGCUGGGGAUUAAAGGCAUGUGCCACCACUGCCCAUCUAGAUAGCCUUCCCUCUCAAAGGGGGCUUUCUUUUAUUUUUCUAAUAUUCAUUUUAUUUUAUUUAUUUCAUGUUCAUUGGUGUUUUGACUGCAUGAAUGUCUGUGUGAGGGUGUUGAAUCCCUUGGAACUGGAGUUACAGACAGUUGUGAGCUGCCAUAUGGGUGCUGAGAACUGAACCCAGGGCCUCUGGAAGAAUAGCCAGUGCUCUUAACUGCUGAGCCAAUUCUCCAGCCCCAAUCUUUUAUUUUUCUUAGAGUGGAUUUCCUAUGGCCCAGGCUGGCUUCAAACUCACUGCAUAGCCAAGGAUGACUUUGAACCUCGGAAUCUCCUGUCACUCCCUAAAUGCUGAGAUCCCAGAUCCAGAUGUUUCGUUUCCUGCCAGAAUGGAGGGCUGCGUGUGGAGAUGUGGAAUCUGAGCUCCAGGUUCCGUCCCCUCGGAGCCCAGCUGCCCACUGUGGGGAUCAGGCCAACCUGUGGAACCCUCCGCGACUCUGAACAAGAGGCAGUGGCAGUCCUGAUGGCCAGGUCACCUCAGACUGCCCUGUUCCCAGCCGACUCCCAACCCUGCUCUGGCUACUGGGAAAACAGGGGUGGGGUGGGGCAGCCCACACAGCCGCUAUGGGCAGUCAAGGUGCCAAGGUUGCACUUGAGUUCCAAGACCUUGCUGGGAGCCCUCAUGUCCAACAGAGGGCGCGAUGUGCACAGAAAUUUGUCUAUCGGCUCGACCUCCCCUCCCCUCCCUCCAGGCACUCCACUGGUUCAUUCUUUUCUCUUUUAUCCCAGUUCCUCACCCUCACCUAACGCAAUCAUCAUAUAUGUUCCUGUAAGCCAAGUGCAUGCAUUUUUUUUUUUAAUUCUUAGUACUUUUUUGUUUGGUUGGUUGUUUUUUUGCUGUCCUGGGAUUUUUUUGGUUUUUUGUUUGUUUCAAGACAGGCUGUCCUGAAACUGCAAAACCCAGAUGGCCCUUUCCUCUUCUACAGAGCUUACACCAGCUUUCUGAAUUUCCCCACAGCUCUUCCCACCCCUUUUCAAGUGACCUGUGCUUCCCAGUUCUGCCUGGGAGCCCCAGGGUCUAACACUGAAGUGUGGUGUCCCAGGCCUGUAAUCCCAGCACUGUGGAGUCAGAGCAAAAGAUCUCCUUUGAACCAGCCUAAGCUCCAAGUGAGAUUCUGCCGCAAAAAACCAAGGAAUGAAGUAAGCCCUGUGCGGCUCGGCCCUGGUGGGUGGAAGACACCCACAGGCCCGUCUGGCACCUCGGAGUGGACACCAUUACAGAGAGCGAAUCUGUGGUGGAGAAAUGGGAGAGCAGCAGAAGCUGGGCCGUUCGUGUGCCGUGGAGAGACAUGGAACUGGAGAAGCCAAGCGGGGGAGGCACAGGUUGCCAUGGGUGGCCUGCACUGCCACCCGGGGCCAUGGUGACAUCCGGACUCAGGUAGCUGCCAAGGACCAUGUCUGGUCCAUAGUCCCAUAGCUACCGGUAUCUGUGAUGUCCAUGGCCCAUGUUGCCACCAAAGGCCACACAGAUGCCCGGGGUCUGGGCUAUCAUCUGUGGCUGUGUUGGUGUCUGAGGGCUGUGUGGCCACUGAGAUCAUGCAGAUCUGGGUGGCCUGCUCUGCCACUUGGGGCCAUGGUGUCGUCUGAGCCCAAGCUGUUGAGGGCUAUGCCUGGGUCCAUGGUACUGCCAAGACUGGGGUCUGUGUUGGUGUCUGUGGCUCCUGUUGCCACUGAAGGCCCUUCAGAUGCCCGGGGACUGGACCACCACCUGGGGCCAUGUUGCUGCCUGAGGGCUGUGCUGAUCUGAGUGGCCUGUACUGCCACCAAGGGCCAUCCAUGGUGACUUACAGGCCUGAGCUGCUGCUAAAGACCAUGUCUGUAUCCAUGAUCCUACCAGAGCCAGGGUCUGUGUUGAUAUCCAUGGCCCGCAUCGCCACCAAAGGCCACAGAGAUGCUCAGGCCUUAGCCAUGUUGGUGUCGAGGGCUAUUUGACUGUUGGGGCCACGUGACCAUCAGGGACCAUGUGAACCAAGCAUGUUGAAAUCCAAGGGCCAUAUGCUGAGCUCUGGCCCUGCUCCUCACUAGCUGCUGCAGCUGGAGACCCAGCCCCACCCUUCACCACUGGCGUGGUUGAACUGACCCCAAAGGCAUGGGCAUGGGAGAGCUGGCCCUGACCAACUCAGCUAUCACCCAGGCCCACAUCUAUGACCUGGUGGAACAUAAAGGGUCUGGUCCUUUGGGACUGUAGCUGCAGGAUCUCCAAGGCUCAGGGCAAUAGCAGGAUAUCCCAGAGGGUUGGUGAGGGUCCAGUGACGAUGGUGUACCAGAAGCCAGAGGCCUUGAACCAGUCCAACAACUCAUUACACAAUGAACAUUUACAAGUAAAGCUGUUUGAACAAAAGGGUCUACUGCGUGAUACACGGCAGCUCCCAAUGUCACUAAGACAAAUGAAGAGGGAGAGGCAGGAAAGACGGAGGAGCGAAGUAGUUUUUGUUUUGUUAAUUUUUUUUUCUUUUGGGGGAAUGCUACAAGGGUGAAAGGUGGAUAUGGAGG